RNAcentral lists this transfer RNA (72 nucleotides) under Candidatus Gottesmanbacteria bacterium RIFCSPHIGHO2_01_FULL_46_14. RNAcentral describes it as "tRNA-Met". It matches the Rfam family "tRNA". Rfam says of the family: Transfer RNA (tRNA) molecules are approximately 80 nucleotides in length. Lineage: Bacteria; Candidatus Gottesmaniibacteriota. RNAcentral also lists the same sequence under 2 other names. The record is from RNAcentral.
GUCAGGGUAGCUCAGUGGUAGAGCAACAGUAUCAUAAACUGUGGGUCGUGGGUUCGAUCCCCACCCUUGACA